Cynocephalus volans (Philippine flying lemur) is the source of this 70-nucleotide small nucleolar RNA. RefSeq annotates it as small nucleolar RNA SNORD104. The record is from RefSeq and is a predicted model, not a curated record. NCBI's taxonomy places the organism in Eukaryota, Metazoa, Chordata, Mammalia, Dermoptera, Cynocephalidae. The transcript has a single exon.
GUUGUGAUAACGUCCCAAUUAAAUCAAGGGUUAAACUGCUGACGUGGGUGAUGAGAACUGGAGUCUGAGC